GACGAACGCUGGCGGCGUGCUUAACACAUGCAAGUCGAACGGUAAGGCCCUUCGGGGUACACGAGUGGCGAACGGGUGAGUAACACGUGGGUGAUCUGCCCUGCACUUCGGGAUAAGCCUGGGAAACUGGGUCUAAUACCGGAUAGGACUCCUGGCUUCAUGGUUGGGGGUGUAAAGCUUUUGCGGUGUGGGAUGGGCCCGCGGCCUAUCAGCUUGUUGGUGGGGUAAUGGCCUACCAAGGCGACGACGGGUAGCCGGCCUGAGAGGGUGACCGGCCACACUGGGACUGAGAUACGGCCCAGACUCCUACGGGAGGCAGCAGUGGGGAAUAUUGCACAAUGGGCGCAAGCCUGAUGCAGCGACGCCGCGUGAGGGAUGACGGCCU
Molecule: ribosomal RNA, 385 nt
Filed under: uncultured bacterium
Lineage: Bacteria
Description: bacterial SSU rRNA
Rfam family: Bacterial small subunit ribosomal RNA
Source: RNAcentral